ACGAACGCUGGCGGCGCGCUUCAUACAUGCAAGUCGAACGUGAAGCCCGGAGCUUGCUCUGGGUGGAAAGUGGCGAACGGGUGAGGAACACGUGGGGAACCUGCCCCGAAGACCGGGAUAACACCGGGAAACCGGUGCUAAUACCGGAUGCCCUCAUCGGAACUCAUGUUCCGAUGAGGAAAUGGAUUCCGCUUCGGGAUGGCCUCGCGGCCUAUCAGCUUGUUGGUGGGGUAACGGCCCACCAAGGCUUCGACGGGUAGCUGGUCUGAGAGGAUGUCCAGCCACACUGGGACUGAGACACGGCCCAGACUCCUACGGGAGGCAGCAGUAGGGAAUCUUGCGCAAUGAGCGAAAGCUUGACGCAGCGACGCCGCGUGCGGGAUGAAGGCCCUCGGGUCGUAAACUGCUUUUAUAUAGGAAUAAACCCCCUUUCGUGAGAGGGGCUGAAGGUACUAUAAGAAUAAGGACCGGCUAACUCCGU
RNAcentral lists this ribosomal RNA (481 nucleotides) under uncultured bacterium. Its description in RNAcentral is "bacterial SSU rRNA". It matches the Rfam family "Bacterial small subunit ribosomal RNA", at positions 29 to 506 of the family's 1533-position model. The record is from RNAcentral.